Rosa rugosa (rugosa rose) is the source of this 1027-nucleotide long non-coding RNA. RefSeq lists it as uncharacterized. Lineage: Eukaryota; Viridiplantae; Streptophyta; Magnoliopsida; Rosales; Rosaceae. The transcript is spliced from 3 exons. The record is from RefSeq and is a predicted model, not a curated record.
UGAUUCUUGUCUCAUUGGAUUCGCCUCAACUUUCUGAACAAGCACCAAGAAGGACCAGACCUGGGUAGAACGAUUUCACGUUCAUCGGAGCUCGACUGGUUUAGAUCGACAAACAACCCUUCGAUCCGUGUAUCUCGAGUUACAGACCACCUCUUUAUGUGAUUCUUGGCUUAGUGAGUUCGUCUUGAAGUUCUGAACAACUCUCCAGAAGGAAUAGAAGCGUUUCGUUGAAGUUUUUACGUCGAAACUCAAGCUCGCCGGAUUCUGGAAUUUUUCCGACCACCGAAGCUUUCGAUCGGUAUAUCUCGAGCUACAGACCAUAUUUUUCUGUGAUUCUUGAACCAAUGAGUUCACCUUGAGUUUCUUAACAACUCUCUAGAAGGGAUCAAAGCCUGAAAUUGAAGUUUUGACGUCGAAAUCAAGCCUUGCCGGAUUCUGCAAAUUUCGCCGGAUUCUGGAAAUUUUCCGGCCACCUCGACUGUUUUAGGUGAUUGACGGUCUCCCUUGGGUGAGCGAUUUCGGUGUGUAUUGUGUUAAACUGAAGACGCAGCGGGAAUAUCGAGCGGGUAAUCCUACAGGUCAAGAGAAUCAGGACGGAGAUCGAGCUGCGUAGAGUAGCUGCAAUUGUGUCAAUCUGAAUUGCUUUGUGAGCCGGUGAGGUGUGUUAUGCUCAUUUAGAGCUUUACAAUAUUUCUUGUGAGAGUGAAUUGUAAUAAUGAACUCGAGGUUUCGAAAUUUGAAGUUUGUGUAUCGUGUGGUGAGGUUGUUUUGAGAAAAAAAUUCAGAACGUUUAUUUGAUUAAGUGGUUUAAUUCAUGUUUCGGAUUUGAACUUAUUAUUCAAAAUUCGGGGCGUGACAGUUUGGUAUCAGAGCGUAAGGUGCAUAUUCGGUGAUGUGUCAAUACUUUCCGAGUGAUGGCCCGUCUGCAGCGGAUCCCCAUCGUGUGCUCUUCGGUAUUGGCUAAGUCAUUGGGUAUGCGUGAGUGUUGAGAGUUGUUUAGGCCGCUAGGUCGUUUUAGGAACGUGAA